Molecule: transfer RNA, 74 nt
Filed under: Candidatus Liptonbacteria bacterium RIFCSPLOWO2_01_FULL_52_25
Lineage: Bacteria; Candidatus Liptoniibacteriota
Also listed under: 2 other names
Description: tRNA-Pro
Rfam family: tRNA
About the family: Transfer RNA (tRNA) molecules are approximately 80 nucleotides in length. Their secondary structure includes four short double-helical elements and three loops (D, anti-codon, and T loops).
Source: RNAcentral
CGGGCCGUAGUAUACCGGUAGUACAUACGCUUCGGGUGCGUAGAGACCGGGUUCGAUUCCCGGCGGCCCGACAA